Molecule: long non-coding RNA, 497 nt
Filed under: Parus major (Great Tit)
Lineage: Eukaryota; Metazoa; Chordata; Aves; Passeriformes; Paridae
Description: lncRNA (ENSPMJG00000013933.1)
Source: RNAcentral
CAAACAGCAGCGUAGUCUCAGUGACCUAAUUUCCUGCCACUGUUCCUUCUCCUCUGAUAAUGGGGAAGAACACUGGUUUUUCUCCUCCUACAACUAAACAAACAAAGCAUGAAAUGAGUGGGAAUGUUUAAUGCCAAAAGCCCGCAGAAGGAGAGCUGCUCUGGACUGGAGACCUUUGCAAACAGAAGUGCCUCACUUUUCUCACCUAGAAAAAUGAAAACAAAUGUUGCUGGUUUUCAUAUUGGACUUCAAAAUCAGAAAAGAAUUAGACAAGGAGGGAGAAGCCCCUGCAGCCGUGUCCCGGUGCUGCCGGAGGAGGGAUGCUGCCCGCACGGGGUGGGCAGCGGAGCCGGGACCUCCUCCCAGGUGAUGUUUAAGGCACAGAAAAAUCUCCUCAUGCCGGCGCACAAUGGCCACAUUGUAAAUCCGUCCCUUCCCAUCAUGUAGGACGUUGGGAUCGUUAGUUUUGGCUGGAAAUAAAAUAUAUAUUACACGCA